RNAcentral lists this long non-coding RNA (424 nucleotides) under Danio rerio (zebrafish). RNAcentral describes it as "lncRNA (ENSDARG00000117771.1)". The record is from RNAcentral. Lineage: Eukaryota; Metazoa; Chordata; Actinopteri; Cypriniformes; Danionidae.
UAAUACCGUAAAUAUGACGUAAAAUUCAAAGAGCUCACAGCAUUUAAAAAGCCCACUGAUUCUUGAUCUUAUUAACUACAAAGGUGACAGCUGAAAUUCACUUUUUGUUUUUCGAGUUGACUAGUUAAGAUACUGAAAUGUUUCUUCAACACAUGAUCUCUUUGUUGCUCCUCAUGCGUUCAAGUCCGAUUGUGUUGACAGACCGGUGUGAAGGUAGCUAUCGAUGUCUGGCUAAUGACUUACUUGCUAAGAAUAUGAAAAUUGCACCGCAGGACACAUGUUCUGUUCUAGUAACAGUUGCUUCAAUGGAAUAUGAGACAUUGUCUUUUGAUACAAAAGAACAGCAGAUGAGUUGCCGUGUCAAGGUAAACAUGGUGAGUAGAUCAACUUUUUUUAUUUGACUAUUUUUGUGUUUGUUGGCUCA